This is a long non-coding RNA of Bubalus bubalis (water buffalo), 1572 nucleotides long. RefSeq lists it as uncharacterized. The transcript is spliced from 2 exons. The record is from RefSeq and is a predicted model, not a curated record. NCBI's taxonomy places the organism in Eukaryota, Metazoa, Chordata, Mammalia, Artiodactyla, Bovidae.
AUAGAUGAGGAAACAGAGACCAAAAGCUCAAGCAGCAGGCCCCGGCUUGCACAGGUAGCAGUGGCAGAGCCUUUGUUCAAAGCUGGGCAGUACCUGCCAGAGGCUGUGUGCAGAAGCACCUGUAUACGACUUCUCACGCCCUUAGGAGUCCUGGGCAUUCAUUAAUUCACCCAGCAAGAAUGCACAGGGUCCUGUUGGGGUGCAGGCCCGAUGCUCAAUGCGAUAAGGAGAGCCAGCUGUUUGUUUCUGCUCAGGCAUUUCCUACCAUUUUCCUGACAGCCCCCCACACCCUGCCGCUCACUUGGGAGCAGACACACCAUUCCCAAGAUGGUGACUCUGUUUUGAUGCACUGGCCUUGGGAGGUCAGGAAAGCUAUGACAGAGUGGGUGCAAAGGCUUUUCUGGAACAGAGACAAAGUACAAAAGCCAUGAUGCUGUGAUCAAAGAUGGAGUCACCGGCUGAGUAAGGAAGGGAGGGAAGCUGUGGCGAGGGGAGGGAGGGUGGCUGUCAUGACGCCCAGAGUCUAGUCACCCGGCCUCAAGGGUGUCUUACCUCCACUUGAGGCUUCGGGACUCUGCCGAAAGCUGCACUGUGAUUGACUGGAGAGGAUAAGGGUGAUGAGCAAGUCAGCAGCUCCAGCCCUGUCAGCACCCAUCAUCUUUGUUUGUCUUUGUUUGUCUGCCUAAAUAGCCUAUCAUGGUUUAUUUCUCAUCCCUCUGCAAAGGUGAUUGGUGCAAGAAAAUGAAGUAUCUGGCAUCUUAUUCAGAGACACAAAACUUCAUACUGAUUAUUGCAUCUGAGGUUGCGGAAGGGAGGGGGAAGGAGGAGGCUGCUCUGUGGGAGCGUGUUUAAGGGGAAACGAGCAGGCACCCACCUGCGGAGGUGAAUUCACCUGUCCCUGGCCUCCUGCCACUUCACCCCGGGCUGCUAGGGAGACAGGAGGGGGAAGAGAAACUGACGGCUGAGGGGAAUUCGUCUCCAGUCUUUAUCAGCCCUCUCCACCCACACCCUUGCUCCCUAGGCAGAGAGCCUGGCAGGAGAAAAACAGGCUUUACUUCGAGCUUCUCUGUCACAUACGCCUUUCCCCUACCCACCUCACCAGCCCAACACCGAGAAGAAGAAAGAAGAAUUGAUCAAGGCUCCCCGGCCCUUGGGGAGGCAUCACACACAGCAUCAGUCAUGCAGUCGUGGGUGUUAAGUUGAAAAAAAAAAGAGUACUCUCCACCCCAAACUAAAAGGAAUGAAAGAAGGAAAUACUUGCGUAUGAAUAGCAGGCUGCCCUCUCAAGAUAGCUCCACCAUCUGGAGGCGAGCCCAGGAGGCAGGAGAGGGAACUGUUCCUGAGUUUCUUAAUCACAGCUCUCAGGGGGCAUCCGCUGCAGCCAGCUGCCCACGACCUCAGCACACAGCUCUUGGCACAACUGCUGGCAGCCCAGCUGUGUUCUGCAUGACCGAAUCGGACACCUCUCACUUCCUCUGCGAACGGAACUUGGUGUUUGGAUGACGUGCGGGCAAGUCGUUUGUGCAAAAUAGCACAUCUCUAUCGUCGGUCUCCCACCCCAACCCCCAGGCC